This 495-nucleotide ribosomal RNA is filed under the name uncultured bacterium. RNAcentral describes it as "partial 16S ribosomal RNA". It matches the Rfam family "Bacterial small subunit ribosomal RNA", at positions 28 to 507 of the family's 1533-position model. The record is from RNAcentral.
GACGAACGCUGGCGGCGUGCCUAAUACAUGCAAGUAGAACGCUGAAGGAGGAGCUUGCUUCUCCGGAUGAGUUGCGAACGGGUGAGUAACGCGUAGGUAACCUGCCUGGUAGCGGGGGAUAACUAUUGGAAACGAUAGCUAAUACCGCAUAAGAGUAGAUGUCGCAUGACAUUUGCUUAAAAGGUGCAACUGCACCACUACCAGAUGGACCUGCGUUGUAUUAGCUAGUUGGUGAGGUAACGGCUCACCAAGGCAACGAUACAUAGCCGACCUGAGAGGGUGAUCGGCCACACUGGGACUGAGACACGGCCCAGACUCCUACGGGAGGCAGCAGUAGGGAAUCUUCGGCAAUGGACGGAAGUCUGACCGAGCAACGCCGCGGGAGUGAAGAAGGGUUUCGGAUCGUAAAGCUCUGUUGUAAGAGAAGAACGAGUGUGAGAGUGGAAAGUUCACACUGUGACGGUAGCUUACCAGAAAGGGACGGCUAACUACGUG